UUAAAAGCCAAAUGUCGCUCGAGACAACUUCAGUACCUCAGGAGCUAUAUUGUGUCUCAGGUACUAGUACUACUUUGGUGUGUGACCAAUAUGCUUAUUAUUACAUCUAUAUUUGUUCUAUUGUGUCUUAGGUACUACUUUGGUGUGUGACUGAUAUGCUUAUUACAUCUAUAUUUGUCUUAAUUUUUGAAAUAGGAGUUCCAUUGCACACCUGCAUCAUAUCUUUUUCUAUCUACGCGAAAGUAUAACCUAUUGAUAAAGUUCCACAUCUCUGUCUAUGGCUAUGUCCGGAUCAAAUUGGAUCUUGCAUCCAUACUUUGGAAGCACGUGCAAUGAGAAUGAAUUACAACUAUUUCCUAGUAUCUUGGUUUGAAGCCUAAGAUUUUUAUCUGUUAAUAGUUUCAAAUGAUUUAGUUCAAGAAAACAUAGCGUCUUAGCGAUGAAUGGAAGAGCCAGAAGGAUUUAAGCAACGUUCUAAAUGGUGGCGUCAAAGCGCACCUAGGCGUCAUGCUUGGCCAAAGCCCCAAGCCAAGUGGCUUGGCAUCUUAUUUGGCGAUCAAUGAGGCGCACCUACACUCACAUUAUCACCCUUUUCUUAAUUUUUUCUUUAAAUUUUUUGUUGUUAAAAAAUUAUCAAUGGCUAAUUUCUUCACUUUGCCCUAAUUUAAAACAACCACUUGUAUCGGAAGACACAGAGAACGAAUUAGACGAAGAAGGAGAUAUUGAAUUGGAGUUCGAUAAAAAGUUAGAUAAGAUUUAAAUUCCUAUACUAUUUAUUUAUUAUUUUGUAUUUGUUCGAGUCCUUCCAGAGCCAUUGAGUUGAUUAUCCUGCUGUAAACUUUAGGGUCCCAUGGGAUUAGUCAAGGUGUGCGUAAGUUGGUCCGGACACCCACGAUCAUAAAAAAAAAAAAGAAAUUUACUAUUUGGUAUUAAAGUUUGAAACUUAUCUUUUUGUUGGAAACUUUGAAAAAAUAUAUAACGAUCCUAUAAAUCUGUUUUAAAUGUUUCAUAAGUAUUAUUUUUAAUUAUUAAAUAAUUUUUUGAUUUAUUAAAAAUUAAAAUAAUAUUAAAAUAAGAAAACACAUUUUUACGUUUUUUUAUGUCUAAACCUCGUCUAAACUCGCAUAGUCUAUAGCUUAGCCUCCGUGUAUUACGCAUUUUAAAACACUGGAUUUAAGUUAACAAGUCCGUAUUGAUAUAAAAUACGCUGUAGUUUCAAUUGUUGUGUGAAAUAAGCUUAUGAUAGCCAUUUGGGGGUGGGGGACCGGAGGGUUUCUAGGUCCAAUUGAGGGGUCAGAUCGAUUAAGAUUCUCAUUCUAAGCCCCCCACCUCACAAUUGAUAGAUUACUAUUUGGACAGAAAGGCCUUCUUUUUCUUCUUCUUCUUUUUUUCUUUCUUUUUUUUUCAUAUUUUUUGUGAAAUUAAAAAUUAAAUUUUAGGGCUGGACAUUGUUUGGUUCGAUUUGGUUCUAACGAGAAUUUAAUCGGACUUGAAAUUUUCGAAUAUUUAGUAAGUAAAAUCACUGGGUCCAAAUUUAAUUAUGGAAUCAUUCGAGUUCCGUUCCAUUCGAUUUUUAAGUUUUGUACUAUAAUUAAUUUUUUUAAUAUUUAAAAAGUUACAUUAAUUCAACUAAUGAUAUGUUCAAUCUUAACUCUUACAAAGUAACAUAAUCCAAUCUUAUGUCUUUUUUGUCUCUUUUUGCUGAGUUCUUCAUAUUUUUUAUUGUUAAAAUCAUAGAAGGAGAAAAAUAGCGAGCUCACAAUAAUUAAGAGAGGCGUUAUCAAAAUUUAAUUUGAUUUUUUCAGAAUGGUAGAAAUAACAUUACGGUAGAAUAAUAGAUUUGGGUAAAAUUUAGGUUAAUUUAAUUAAGUUGGGCUCAAACUGAAAAUUAGAAAUAAAAAAUUCAUAUUUUUUGAUUUGUGUUAAAUUAACUAGUUAGCAAAUUUAUUUAGAAAAAAAUAAAAUAAUUUGACUUAUUGAAAUAAAUAAAUUAAAAAAAAUUAGAAAUAUUCCGUUCUAAAUCUAGAACCGAGAAUCGAACUUGACCCGUCAGUUCUUGAUUCAGAUACCGAUUCAGGUAUUUAAUUUAAGAAAAAUCACUUGAUUCAGUUCGGUUCUCUUUGAGAGUUUCGUCCAAUCCUACUAAAUUUCAUGAAAUCAAAUCGUCGCAAAAUGUGAAUGACAUAAAGACUGAAAUACAAUCAAUUCAACAAGAAAUGUCAAUAACUAAAGUAACUAAUGAAGCUACAACGUGGAUUGUUUUAUUUCCCUCGGGAGGAAUAGAAGAACAAGAGCUACUACAAUUGACAUAACCUUCAUUUGGAGCACGGUGAAAAUCUAAAUCGAGGUUUUGGACUGUUUCGCGCGGGUUAGUCGCUAACAAUUAAAAAGGGAUCAGACGAUUGUGUAAGGACAAACCUCUUGAGACAAAGUCCCAAAAAGGGGUACUUUUAUUGGCGAUGACUUUACAAUUUGGAAAAUAAAAACAGAAUGCCUCCAAGGGGCGCAAGCACACGAGUUACUGAAAAGAAGUGUUUAAAUCUAAACUAAGAAAUUGAAAGUUACAUAUUCUCUAUUUGAGAGUGUUUGAUUCGGGGCCUUUUGUUCUAUAUCUUUUCUUCCUUUUAUACUCUCUGGAUGAUCUUUUCGUGAUCAACCGUUUAAAAACUGCUUGAUCGCUCUAUAACUGUCCACUUUCCUCGUAGUGGCCAACUUGUCAUGGAAUUGCCUUCUUUAACUGCUGCCAUUACUUUUUGUCGUUCAACCGUCUUCAAUUGAAUUCCUUGAAUCGUGGAACGUGAUAGGACUACCCAAUAACUGCUUCAUUAACUGCACUUUUGGGUAACCAUAACAUCUUAUGUUUGCUAAGAUGCUGGGCGACUCGAAUGUUUGGACGAGAGCAAGGUCACAGCUCUGGGCGACUGCAUGGCAAUUCAUUCGCUCAAAUCUUGGGCGACUUGCAGCCUUAGGCGAUGGUAUUACCACGUUCAUGGGCUUCCCUAUUUGGGCCUUUAUCUUGCAUUGCUUGAUUGGGUCGUUCUUUGGGCUAUUUGAUUUUGGGGAUCUUCCAAUUGGGCUUCAUUCCUUGGGCUAUUCGACUUGGGCUGAACUUUUUGUGUGUCAACAAUUACCCCUCAAUAUGGCAGAAUUAAUACCAAUUAUUAAUUUUUUGCCAUAUUCACUUUGUGUUUCCCAGCAACAUUUGAAAUUCCCAAGAAUUUCAAUCAUUGUUUUCUUCCAUAGCCUGAAAAGGUGCGACGUUUGCAAACCCUUAUAACCUCCAAAUACGCCAUUUCAUUGCACCACUAAAUCACGCCUCAUUUUUUCGCACUUCUCUCUCGCAAUAUUAUUGUUCAUCUCCUUGCUUUUCUGCUACGUAACUCUGAAAAACUCUAUUUCGUCCCUAAUGGCUGCUUCACAAUCCCAGUUUGGUGACUCCUUCAACUUCGAAGACUUUCAGAAACUCCUUACUCGGCCAUAUAUAACUCCGAAAUUCCUUGCACCGGCCAAUGUCGAACUCAAUGAGUUCUAUCUAGGUCAUUUAUUCAACAAUGUCGAGGCCAUCGAACAAGUGGCGGUCGGUCAGCCGUUCCCUUGUACUCAAAGCCCUCUGUUUCUAAAUUCUUUGUCGCUGGGGCCACUUCGUGAAAGAGGUAUUCGCACUUGGCCUAAAUCUGAUGUCGUUUUCCGUAGAUGGCGUGCUCGCCUUGUGGACCAUGGUUCUACUAAGGCAAUUUUUGAUAAUGCUAGGAUUUCUGAUUUGUUAGAAAUCUCUCUUCAACCCCCUAUUUUUGACCCAGCACUUUUUCCAAUAGCUUUAAGUUUUUGGUCUUCUGAGUAUAAUACUUUUGUUUUUCCUCUUGGUCCCAUGUCCAUUACCUUAAGGGAUGUUGGGGCCUUAGUAAAUCUGCCACCUUUGGGCGAUACCAUUUUUCCUGAUAUUUUGAUUUCUGGUGUCGCCCCAAAAUUUGAUAGAGGCCUCACCGAAUCUUAUUCAACCCUGCAAACCCUUCAUAACCACUCGACCGUUGAGCCUUCCCAUGCUGAGCGAGUGGCCUUUCUUCUGAUUUGGCUUUGUAAAUACAUUUUGUGUGUGCCAAGUAUAAAGCCCUCCAUGAGCUAUUUACCCAUAGCGCACGAAUUGGCGCGUGGUAGGCCUCUGAAUUUGUGUUCUUUCUUUUUAGCUACCUUUUAUAGAGGCAUGGCUUCUCUUCAAUCCCAAUUGAAGAAUGGUGCAUUUUCCACUGGCAGUGGGCCUCUUUGGUUUACUCAAAUGUGGUUGAGAGCCUAUUUUCCAUCGCUUGGUGCUCCAUCUUUUUCUAGUCCUUCUGCUAGCUGCUAUGGGCUAGCCAUUGAUCCCCUGACUCCUGUAAAUAUGUCCAGAAGGGACAUUUUUCAUUCUUUUAUACUUUGGAUUCAAUCCCUUCAUUCUUUCCUUUUCGUCCCUUUUUGACUUCAGAUUAUGUGCAACCUCCAUUCACUCUGGAUAGUGCAAACACUUCCUCGUUCGUUUGGAUUCAGUUUUUGAUCGGGAGGGAGUUGUUCCAUGAUAUUUUGACUGGGACCAAUGCCAAAGUUGGGGUAGAAAUAUAUGUUCCUCAAUUUUUUGCUCGCCAACUUGGUUUUGGCCAAACUUGGCCUGUUCCCCCUUGCUAUUUAAGGAAUUUGAUAGACCGCUUUCACACCAUUAAUAAGGCAGAGGCAGAGGCUAUAAAUGCUUGCAAUAUUUUUUGACGAGCAGCUUUUCAUUAGCCCCCUUCAAUCCUAGCCGUGUCAUCCAUCCCCUUUUUGAACGACUCUGGCCGUCAGUGAAGCAUAGAUUGUUUGCGACUGAUGCCAAUCGUGCUUUCCAUUCACUGGACCAGCCAAACAUUUCUUCCACCUCUCCUGUUUUGGUCACUCCUGUGUCCAUUAGGAGUCUCUCUUCCUCUGCUCGUGCUAAACAAUCUGCCCGUCCAUCGACUUCUCUUCCUGCUAAGCCUACUGCAGCUAAAAGUGCCCCAAGCCGCAAAUGGCCAGCCUCAGCGUCUCCCAUUUUGGAGGAUGAUGCUGAUGAUGAUGAUGAUACCCCUCUCAUCGUCAGGAGGAAGGUAAUUAAAUUGGUUUACUCAUAAGCAUACCUUUCCAUACUUGAAACUUUUCUAUGUGUUGAUAGUUUAUUUGGAUUUCUCAGAAAAGUUCAACCUCUCCCUUGAAGGCUUUGGUGUUGGCAGCUCCUGUUCCAUCAUCCUCUGCUGGGGCUGCUUCGUCCAAACCAGCUGAUGAAGGGACUACGCUUAAAGAGAAAUUAUCAGUCCCAGAAUCUUCAUCACAACCAAUGGACGAGUCACCUUCUUCCCAGGGCGUUGACCCUCCAAACGUCGAAGCAGAAGGUAAUUCAUUUUUUGAUGCUUUACCUUUGCUUGUGCUAUUGAUUUUGAUUUGUUGCCUUUUGAGUUCUGCAGAUGCUCCCAUGAGUCUGCCCGUUGCGGCAAGGUCUUCUCGCUUAAACAAGCAGAUUUGGCUGGGGAUAUGCCACCUUCCAAGAUUGCUGAUGAGGUAAUCUUUGCUUCACCUUUACCUCCACUUUGUUUAGUAUAGUGGAAACCUUCAAUAUUGGCGAUUUUCUUUGCAGGAUACUGAUAAAAUUGUGCGUUCCAUUCAAGACUUGUUCACUUUCUGGGGGCAAGUCAAGACAUCUCGCCCUACUUCAACCAGUUAUCCUUCUGCUUCUUCAAAGGAAGAUAUGAAGUUCCUCAAGCAGUCGAUAUUUGAGUAUGUGUCCUUCAUGGAUAUGGACAUCGGUAAGGCUAGUGCUGCCAAGCAUAAGGAUAAGUUUGAGCAUUUGAAUGCAAAAUUGGAGUAAGCAUUGACACUUUCGUCGCUUAAUCUUUCUGUUGAUUUUAAAGCGACGUUGAAAGUUGUCCAUUCCGAGGUCCUUUCCUUGCUGGCCAAGAAUGUUGAACUGAAGGCCAAAAGUACUUAAUAUCUUCGUGCCAUAUCUGAAAAAGAGUCUUUACUUCUGGAGAUCAACAAAGCUGAGGAUGAGUUGAAAGAAAUUUUUACCGAAGUCAUGAUUGAAAACUCUUUGAUAACUAGUUUGGCUGCUCAGAUGAAGGAGCUUCAAGCCAAGAUGGACGACUGCAAAGCGAGAAUGGUUGCUAAAAAGCGUAAUGCCUCCCAAGGAAUUGAGCGAACUAAGUUUUUGGUCAAGCAGUACAAGAAGUUGGAAGUUGAUGAUAAUGUUGUAGCUGAAUUGAAUAUCACUUCUUCUAGGCAAAGCGAGGACUGGAGGAGACUUAGGGAAAGAAUUCGUUUGAUAUGGGACGAAUUGUAAUUAAGACAUAUAAUGCCUUAACUUUUUCUCUUUGUAAUUUCGUAUUGAAUUUCUCUUUGUAAUCUUGUACUGAUAUAACAGCAAUCAUCAUUGUUAAUGAAUAACUAUUUUAGUCUCUUAUGUAUUUAUUGACAUUCGUCUUUCAAUCAUCAAUCGCUCAGGCAUUUAACUGCUUUAUGCUAAAAUUUUUGCACAUUUUCUCUUGAUAUUUCUUCCCGACUUCGACUUUGGGCCACUUAAUUCCCAUUUACUAGACACGAAUAUGGCUGCUCAUAUUCUAUCUUUUCACCUUCACCCCCUAUAAAUGCACAUCAUAUCCUGUCUUUUUACCUUCACCUCCUUAUAAAUGCACGUAUACUUCAUACUUUCCAUCUUCAUUUCCAUUUUCUUCUUCAAAAAACCAAUUUGCUGCCAUUACUUGGCAUUUUUGACAAUCAAUCCAAAACUUUCAUUUUCCGUGGAAAUGGAUAAUCUGAUUCGCCCACUUUGCCAUCUUUCUUGAUGUCACCUUUGGUAUGGGAGAUAUAGGAAAUAUUAUUUGGCCAGCAGCAAAGUUCUUCCCAUCGUCUCCGUUCUUACAAGGAGUUCAAUGAUAGAAGACAAUUUUUGGGGUGCUUGCAUGCCACCUUGCUUUCUGAGAGUGCUUCUCAGCCUCCUUGCUCGUCGUUGCAGCGAUGCAUUUAGGAAGGCGAAGUGAGGGCGCUUCAUCUUCCUUUCUGCUUGCUGAGAGUGCUUCUCGACCUCUCUGCUUGCCUUUGCAGCAGUGCGAUCAGGAUGGCAAUCAAGGCCAGUACACCCUCUUACUCGGCAAUCGACCGGGAGAUUAGUUUGCUCCUAAUCGUAGUUUAUAGAGCAUUUAGCAUCUUGUAUUUCGCAGCUUUGUAAUGAACAUUUGAUAAUAAAGGAAUUUAUUUGAACGUAUUUCGCUCUGACCCUUUUUACUUUACGAUCGUUCAAUGCGAUUUUGUUACGCUUUUAUUUGUUCACUUUCCCAUAAGGAAGGAACAUACUUUUUCAAAUAUUUGCCAUUAAUGAACCUUAUGUGCUUGGUGCCGUCUAAAUCUUCCAAAUGAUAGGCUCCAUAAGGCAAUACAUUAUUCACUUUAUAUGGUCCUUCCCAAUUGAGAGACCAUUUGUCAUACUUUGGAUCUUUGCUAUCCAAAGGGAGUACUGUUUUCCAAACCAGUUUAUCCAGGCUGAACGACUUGGCUAUAACUUUUUUAUUAUAAAAUUUAGUCAUUCUUCGUUUUUGAACUUGCAAUCUAUCUAGGACGUUUAACUUUAAUUCGUCCAACUCUAAUAAGUUUUGAACUAGUGAUUUGGUAUACUCAUCAUCACUUAACUUAUGUUGCAAACACACUCUGAUCGAUUGUACGUUGAUUUCCGUAGGCAAAACGGCCUCCUGUCCAUAAGUAAGUUGGAAAUGAGUAAUUUUGGUACUUGACUGACGCGACGUCCUAUAAGCCCAUAAGGCUUUGUUUAGACAUUCGUGCCAAUUUCUGGCAUUUUCAUCUAUCAUUUUCCUUAUGAUAUUUUUUAAAAUCUUAUUAGAAGAUUCUGCUUACCCAUUGGAUUGAGCGUAAGAUGGUGUGGAGUUUACUAAUUUAACUCCAAAUUCGCUCAAAAAUUUAUUCACUUGAUCCUCAUUUAAAGAUGUCCCGUGAUCUACCAUCAAAGUUUGUGAAAUACCAAAUCUAUAAAUGAUGUGAUCACGGAUAAAUUCUAUGACAUUCUUCUGGGUGAUUUCCUUUAAAGGUACCGCCUCUACCCAUUUAGUGAAAUAAUCGGUUGCAACUAUAACAAAAGUAUGUUGCUUGGACGAUGGGGGAUAAAUCUUCACUAUCAGGUCUAUCGCCCAACCCUUGAACGGCCAAUAUUUAAUAAUAGGUGUCAUCUCUCGUGCUGACGCCCUUUGUAUUGGACCAUGCUUUUUGCAUGCUAAACAACUCUUUGCAUACUGAACGUAUAAUUCUCCCAUCUUUGGCAAAAAUAUCCACUUCUAGUAAUUAACCAUCUCAUCCUUUGACCAGCUUGAUGAGCUCCACAUAUCCCUUCGUGUACUUCAGUCACGAUCAUCUUGGCUUCUUGCAAAUUUACACACUUUAGCAAUAUACCAUCAGAACGUUUCUUAAACAACUCUCCAUUUAUUAGUGUAUAGUUUAGCAAACGCAGCUUCCAUUUUCUACUAUCUCUUUUAUCAGGUUCUUUAAGGAAUUCCUUAAUCUCUGUCCUCCAAUCCAUUGCAUCUCUAUCUUAUAUGCAAUGAAGUUCAAUCAUUCUCGUCCUUCUUUGGAUCACGGGCAAAAUUGUUCCAUACUCACAAGUAGACUUUCAAUUUAAAAUCUUUGAGAACCCUGAGGCCAUCUGGGCCAACUCAUUUGCCACGUCAUUGUAUAUCCUAUUAACGCAUUGAAGUUCUACUUGGUCGAAUUUUUCUAAUAACUCUUGGGCGAUUUCAUAUUGACUCAUGAUGGAAUCACUUUGGCAUUUAAAAUCACCAAUCAGUUGGUGAAUUACCAAUUGAGAAUCGCUUCUAAUGAUUACAUUUUUUACCCCCAUAGCUAUCAUUAGUUCUAGGCUCACGGUUAAGGCUUCAUAUUCUGCGUGAUUGUUGGUGCACAUCCUAUUCAAAGUGAAUGCGAACUUGUAGCAUAUCCUUAAAGGAUUUAUCAAUGCUACUCUUACUCCUACACCUUUAGAGGUUUUUGACCCAUCGAAAUACAACACCCAAGGUUUUAGUUCGAACGAAUUGAUUUCUAAUUCAAUUUCUUCAGGCAUGUCAAGGCAUGGAUGAUCGGCUAGAAAAUUAGCCAAAGACUGAUUUUUGACUGCCUUUUGGGGUAUGUAUUGUAUUUCGAAUUCUGAUAAAACUAACGUCCAAAAGCCUACCCUUUGGUGUAAAAUAGGGCGAGAGAACAUGUACUUAAUCAAAUUUAUUUUAGAAAUCAAAUAAACGGUUACGGGCCGUAAAUAAACCCUUAACUUUGUACAUGUGAAAUACAAUGCAAGACAUAAUUUUUCGAUAGCAAAAUAAUUACAUUCACAUUUUGUUAACCGUCUACUCAAGCAGUAGAUCGCCCUCUCUACACCAAAUUGGUCUUCUUGCGCAACCAUUCCAGCUAUUGAUUCUUUUUCAGCCGAUACAUACACUUUCAUUGGCCGUCCUUGGAUUGGUGACACCAACACUGGUGGACUUGAUAAAUAUGUCUUCAUGCUUUCAAAAGCCUUUUGAUGUUCUUCUUUUCAGACGAAUUCGUCCUGAUUUUUUAGCUUUAAAAGCGGCGAAAAGACUUUAGUUCGCCCUGCACAAUUAGAAAUAAAGCGUCUUAAAAAGUUUACUUGGCCUAGAAACCUUUGCAAUUCUUUUUGUUGCUAGGUGGUUUGGCCUCUAAAAUGGCAUUCGCUUUAUUUUUAUCAAGUUCAAUCCCUCUUUUGUGUACCAAGAAAUCAAGAAAGUUUUCUGCAUUAACACCAAACGCACAUUUCAAGGGAUUCAACUUUAGCUUAUAUUGCUUCAUUCGUUCAAAUGAACAUCUUAACUGUUCGAAAUGGUCCUCUUCUUUAAUGGAUUUGACCACUAUAUCAUCUACAUACACUUCAACAAACUUGCCUAUCAUAUCAUGAAAAAUUCAAUUCAUUGCCCUUUGAUAAGUUGCUCUUGCAUUUUUCAGGCCGAAAGGCAUGACUACCCAUUCAAAACAUCCUAAAGACUCAGGGCAUCCAAAGGCAGUUUUGUGUAUGUCUUCCUCAAUUAUAUAAAUUUGAUUGUAUCCUGAAUACCCAUCCAUGAAAGAAUACAUGAUGUGUCCGGCAGUUGAGUCUACUAAAGAAUCUACCGUGGGCAUUGGAUACUCAUCUUUGGGUGUGGCUAUGUUUAAAUUCCUAAAAUCUAUGCACACCCUUAAUUUACCAUUCUUUUUUAGUACUGGCACGAUAUUGGACAACCAUUCGAUAUACCUGGCUAUUCUAAUAAAGUCUGCUUUUAAUAAUCGCUCUAUCUCUUUCUUAAUCUCAGGGAGUACAUUAGGAGCAAAACGUCUGGGAGGUUGCCUAUGAGGUUUGAAAUUAGGCUUAGUUGGUAAUCUAUGUUUCACCAAGUCUCUAUCUAAACUAAGCAUUUGUUCAUAUUCCUAAACAAAACAAUCUUUAUACUCUUUUAACAAAGCGAUUAAUUUAUCACUAACCUCUUGAUUGAGCAUCUGGCUGAUGAAUGUUGGACGAUCUUCUCCUUCAUUGCCAAUAUUUACUUUAAUCAGAGGGUCUUGUGCUUGAGCGUAUCCAAGCUUGAUGAUCCGCAUUACUUCAUCAUCUAGCUCCCUUGUAAGCACUUCUUCUUCUAAACAAUCUACCUUGUUGACUUCUCGGCCAAUACUUUGUUCCAAUUCGAAUACUGCUAAUUUGUCUUUCAACGCUUUCAGGGCUGCCUCUUCUUUCGCCCUGUCCUUGCAUUCUUUAUUGAAAGCCAUUAAUUUGACUUUGAAGGUCUGAAUAUCGGCCAUUUGCUUUUGUUGCUUAGAACUCAUUCAAGACUCCUUGAUUAUUCUUUUGCCAAUUACUGGCUCUUCUAGGGCCAUUAUAUUUGGCCUCAUCUGACUGAACAUUUCAAUGAGUGCGUCCACUGAAAAUGUCUCUUCGCUCUGCGCGACAAUUUGAGCUUCUUCCCCAUCUUGUACUACCUUGACAGGUCCAUAAUUUCCUUCGUACAUGAACUUUUCCACUGAGUUUGCUUCUGCGACAAAAUGCCUAUGAUCGACCUUCACCACCUCUGCUUCACCCUUGUUAUUCCAAAAGACCAGGCAUUGAUGGAGCGAUGAGGGUAUACAGCGAUUUUCGUGUAUCCAAUCUCUUCCUAAUAACACAUUGUAACUAGUAGGACUAUCUAUUACAAAGAAGACUGUGGUCUUAGUAGUUGUCCCUAUAGUUAUGUCCAAUGGCAUAACUCCCUUAGCUGCAGUUGCUCCUCCAUUGAAACUUGUAAGGAUGACUUCCGUUGGAAUCAUAUCCCCUUCUAUUUUUGCAAAUUUCCUCAUCAUCCCAGAUGGAAUAGUGUUUAUAGCUGCUCCAUUAUCGACAAGUACUUUUGCCACAGGUAUGCCGUUAACUAGAGUUUUAACGUACAAUGGCCUCAAGUAUUUAGUCAAUUUCAUGGCUGGCCGCUUAAAAAUAACCUUUUCGGCAGCCUCUAUUUCUACUUCCUGCUUGUCCUCUGUCGAUUUACCUUUUUGCGAUAAGUCAACGUGCAGCAUAUCGCACUGAGCAUCUGUCUCCUGAAUUUCCUUUUUACUGUUUUCUAAUGCUUCGUCUUCAGUUACCCAAUCUGUGGGAAAAGGCAUUAUUCUUGGAGGCGAUCCAUACUUUUCAGAGUGAGGCACUCUCUUCUUCCUCUUGGGUGUCCCGCACAGCACGUAAAAUUCGAAAGAACGCUCAGAUGGUUCUCCCAAUAAGUCUACUUCACGAACUCCCUCUCGAUGUAGUUGCUUCAACAGAGUAUUGUGCGAUACUCCUCUUCUUCUCCUUUCUGCUUCCAGAUCGAUUUCCUCUUCAAUGUUUGUCAUACCAUCAUCUUCCUCACCAUUGUAGGCCUCUCUAGAAGCCUGACCUUCUUCAUAUUCCAGCAUGCAUGCUUCUCCUCCGUUAUCCUCUCUUUCUUCUUCUUCUUUUUCUUUAUUCUUGAACUCAUUGGUUAGUAAAUAAUUAUUAGCCACGACAGGAGGUAACGUACCGAACUGAAUAGUAAGGGACUGAUCUGGAUCUUUUCCAUCCCUUCUAUCUCGCUCAAACUUCGAUCUCCCAGAAGAAGUUUCUGGCAACUCUUUCAUUGAUUCAUCUGUACCAGUCUCUUCACUGUCUUUGAGAAUAUUUUGAUUGGCUACCUCGAGUAGUUUAGGCGCCUUAGGACGUGGUAUUCCCUGUUAUUGCCUCAUCAUUCGUCCAUAAUCGUUGCAAACGCCUUUGUUGGGUUCUAGUCAUCUCGUUGAAGGGUAUUGCCUUUCCUGCAUUGUACUGGAACGAAUGCCAUACAUUUGGUUGGAGAGGUUGCGGCCUGAAUGUUCUCCCAUUAUUUACUGGCCUGAAUUGCCUCUCAAAAGACGGUCUCUUAUAGAACGAUGUAUCUCGCCCUCUACUAGGCUGAGCAUUUGGGAAGAAAGUAGGUCGAUAGGGAUGCUGCCAUAUCCCUGGCUUCUCCGUAUUUCCACUCACUUCUCUUUUACGUCUUGAACACAAGACUUCUUCAUCCUUUUUCGGCUCCUUCCCUUUAAUACGCUCAAAAACACUGGGAUGUGGUCCAGGGUCUUCUUCUCCAUCAUCUAUAACCAACUUGAAUUUUGGCAACUUGACGUCACCAUAUUCACUCCAUGUGGCUGUGGAAAAGGAUUUUCAUCCACUGCCAUCUUCUUCUUAUCAUCGAACGUAAUUCGUCCUGAUUCAAUGGCAUCCCGUAACACAUGGCGAAAAACUAAGCAAUUGUUAGUUAAAUGUGACCAGGCAUUAUGCCACUUACAAUAUUUUUUACCCUUAAUUUGUUCAGGAUUUGGGAAUUUAUGCUUAUCGCUCGGCUUUAUCUGCUUAUCCUUAUAUAAUUUAUCAAAUAUAAGGUCAGCUUUGGUUACAUCGAACGAGAAUGUUCUAGCUUUUAUGUUUUCAUCUUUCAUAGGCUCAUCCUUGUCCGAUGGUCUAGGCUUAGCCAUUAUAGGACAAGUAUACGUGUCUCCUUUGACUAAUUCAGCCAAACACAUUUCGGUCUGAUCGUAUGACUCAUUACUGAUGGUAUGAACAUCAAAAUUUGGGUCUCUAUAAUAAGUCCCCUUGCUAGAAUUUUUUAUCUACUCUUCUUCUCUUAUCAAUCGUUCAUACCUAAUCAUGUUCGCAUUCAAUUGGAAGAGGUCAGGAAAUUCCUUAUCUUGGAAUUUCUUUUUUAAAUCAAAGCUCAAACAACCUUGAGCGAUUUUUACAAAUUCUUUUUCGGGCAAAGGUACAAAACAUUUGUUUGUUGCUGUCUUGAACCUUUGGAGGAAACCUUCUGCCCAUUCGUUUGGCAUUUGACGUAGAUUCGUCAAAUCGGCCAACGUAACUUCAGACUCAGUCUUAUAAAACUGAGCGUAGAAUAAUUGUUCCAAUUGUUGCCAUGUUUGAACAGAGUUCGCUGGCAAAUUGAUGAAUCAGGAGAAAGCUACUCCUAUUAAUGAACUAGGGAAAAGCCUCAUUUUAUAAUAAUCAGUUACGUCACCACUUUACAGUGUGAAUCGCCCUAUGUGUUCUAGAGUAGACACCUCCCCUAAGCCGGUAAACAGUGAGAAUUCUGGCACUUUAUACCCUCUAGGCCAUGGAUAUGCUUGGUCUACCCAAUCAGGAUAUGGCUUUGUGUAAGUCGGCCUAAUGAUAGGACGUACUCCAAAAGCCAUCUGGUCUUGUACGAUUUCCAUAAUUUGGUUCCUCGACAUGACGUUGGAGUCAUAUGGAAUUCCUACAAGUUGGUUGACCGGUUGAUUUGCUUGAGUCCUGAUGUUUGGUCCUUGAUUGGCAACAAAGUUACCAUAAUUUAGGCCAUUGUUACCAUUAGCCUGAACAUUUAUUCCCUCGUUAACACGUGGGGUAUUUUGCCCAUUAUUUAGGACAUUAUCUCUUACAUUUAGAUUACCCCCCAAGUUAGGCGUACCACUACCAUUAUUUUGAUUUGGCAUUACACCAUCCCCUUGGUUUGAAGUAAAGGAACCGAAAGGUGGUUCUACCCCUUGACUUGGAUUUAGGACUGGGGGAUUAUGUCCAACAAUUGUCCUAGUUUGAAAGUGGUUUGCAAGAGGCAUAACUGGUUGACAAAUUUGGCCUACUAACUUAUUCAUUAUUUCGUUCAAAGUAUUCAAUUGUUUGGCCAUGUUGUCAUAAUGCACAUUCCCAUUCUGGGUAAAUCUUUCCAUAUUAUGAAUGUUUCGAAGGUUUAUCUAUUCAACGACAUCUUGUGUGAGUUCUCUAAGCAGUGCAUGCAUAGUUCGAGGACUUAACUCUGUCAUUGACUCGUAACGAUUGUUACUGCUCUGAUUCUGUCCAUCUAUUCGUGGAGAGCUAUGCUGCUCCUCAUAUCGCUCGAUCACAGAUUGGACUCCUACUUGACUUGCUGCUUCUUUAUCGGAUCUCUGAGGCAUAUUGUUUCACCUUUUGUAUCUUCAACACCAAACACCACUGUCCCACUGGGCGUGCCAAAUUGUUUCGCGCGGGUUAGUCGCUAACAAUUAAAAAGGAAUCAAACGAUUGUGUAAGGGACAAAUCUCUUGAGACAAAGUCCCAAAAAGGGGUGUUUUUAUUGGCGAUGACUUCACAAUUUGAAAAAUAAAAACAGAAUGCCUCAAAGGGGCGCAAGCACACGAGUUACUGAAAAGAAGUGUUUAAAUCUAAACUAAGAAAUUGAAAGUUACAUAUUCUCUGUUUGAGAGUGUUUGAUUCGGGGCCUUUUGCUCUAUGUCUUUUCUUCCUUUUAUACUCUCUGGAUGAUCUCUUCGUGAUCAACCGCUUAAAAACUGUUUGAUCGUUCUAUAACUGCCUACUUUCCUCGUAGUGGCCAACUUAUCAUGGAACUGCCUUCUCUAACUGCUGCCAUUACAUUUUGUCGUUCAACCGUUUUCAAUUGAAUUCCUUGAAUCGUGGAACGUGAUAGGACUACCCAAUAACUGCUUCAUUAACUGCAUUUUUGGGUAACCAUAACAUCUUAUGUUUGCUAAGAUGCUGGGCGACUCGAAUGUUUGGACGAGAGCAAGGUCACAGCUCUGGGCGACUGCAUGGCAAUUCAUUCGCUCAAAUCUUGGGCGGCUUGCAGCCUUGGACGAUGGUAUUACCGCGUUCAUGGGCUUCCCUAUUUGGGCCUUUAUCUUGCAUUACCUGAUUGGGUCGUUCUUUGGGCUACUUGAUUUUGGGGAUCUUUCAAUUGGGCUUCAUUCCUUGGGCUAUUCGACUUGGGCUGAACUUUUUGUGUGUCAACAUGGACAACACAUAACGAGUCACAUUUAGUCUCCUCAAGCUCGAAACCAUUUUGUUUGGCAAAAAGGAAGCCAUACUAUACCAGCCUCGGCAACUUCCACCUUGAGAUAUCCCAGUCUGAUCCUGAAUAAUGGUCGGUCCCCGUUUGAAAAAACCAUCUACUCAGAAUGAAGCAUCUGUACUCAACUUUAGACGACCAACAGAAAGUGGCUUUUUUCGAACUUCAGAUUGCAAAAGCCCCCAGCCGACUAUCCAAAAUCUGUCACAGAAGUAGUGGUCUUAAUAUUAGGGUAGCAACACCAAUGGUGGUUGUCUCUAAUAGCCAUGAAUAACUAUACUCCGUUCCCCCCAAAUUACUAAGCCAAACACCACAAUAUGAGCUAGUUCAUGUAGCGUGCACGUGCACUGGGUGGAUGUUUCUCACAUCUGCCACACGAACGAAAGGCUUCACAACCUCCCACCAUCCUCCAGUCCUUUGAACUAUCUUUGCAGCUGGGUAACUAAAUAAUACGUCGUGAUGUCUCCAACUAUCCACAAUGGCUACAUCCAGGGGCGGACCCAGACCUCUAGUAUUGUGUGGUCAAAAUUUAAAAAAUAUUUUUUUUAAUAAACAACAUAAUAUCAAUGAAAAUAAGUUUAUAUGUAUUUUGACACUUUGAAAACGUCGUAUAAUUACAUCAUUAUUAAUAUUAUUAAAUAAAUUUUGUUAUUUGUAUAGUUUUGUUUAUCAUUUCAUUGGCAAAUACUGAGCUAAUAUUGAGUAAAUUAAAUUGAAUAUAAAAAUUAAAUGAAUUGAAAUAAAAUUCAAAUUUAGUUCAGGAAGUAAAUGAAUUCAAAUUUAAAGCAAAUAUAAUUCAAAAGUAAUUCAAAUUGCAUUUAAUCCAUAACGACCCUAAAAAAUUUGCGUCAUAUUUCAUGUAAGACUUCCAAAUGAAACGAUAUAAAUUAUAUUGAAAAAUUUAUCGUGCAAAAAUAAUAAUUAAUUGAAUUUUUUAAAAGAAAAAACGAGUUAGACGUCUUUUUUGAGGUAUACGUUUGAUACAUAUUUAACGUUUUUCGAUAUUCAUUUGGACCAUUUGAUAUGAAAACGAUGUAGUUUUCGAAACAAACUUUUACAUAGCAUAGACGAUUUGUGGAUUCAGAUAGCACAUGAUCGCAAACGAAUUUUUAAAGUUAAGAUAUUAUCGAAAUUCUCAAAAUACUAGUUUUGAACACCCUAUUUAACAUGUCAUAACUUUUGUUAUAGUUGACCACUUCAAAUGCCAUGUGGGUCCGCCCCUGGCUACAUCUUUACAUUACAUUUACCAUAGGGUUAUGCAAAUUAAUCAGGAAAGCAAGGCUUCAUGAUAUAAAUUCCACAAGAAAAAUUGGACUUCCGGUGGGAUCAAUAAUUUCCAUAUGUACUAGCCACUUCAACAAAGAGAAGAUAGCUUUGCUCUAUGGAAAAUUCAUUAGUCAUCAGCAAAGAGAAGACAGCUUACAAUAGGGCCUGCUCGUAACGCUUGCAUCCUCACGAUUCUUAAUGAUCGCCUAUAUGUACAUGCAUUAUGCAUAGGUGGCGAGAUGGAUAAGCGAACUCCGAUACCCCAACUUUUGAGGUCCAUCAAAAGGAGUGGGAAGUCAUAAGGAGUGAAACUUAGAGGCUGUUUGGUAGCAAUUUUGACCUACCCAAAAUUAAUUAUUCGAACGUUGCCACCCACUUAUCUGACAACGCCUACGUAAUUAUACAGUAAACCAUUUUUUCUCUUUCCUCACAAUGCCCCUCCCACUUGCCACUCACUUUUCUGACAACGCAUGCAUUCAUAAAAAGGCACAUAAUUUUUUACCUUUCCUGCCACCCACUUUUCUGACAACCCAUGCAUAAAAAAUUACAUAAAAUUUUCAUUUUCUCCCUCACAAUGCCCCUCCCACAGACACUUUCUUUCUCCAACCUUCAGCUCGGAACUUGACAACAGUCUACCUACCCGUCGAAUAUUUGAAGAACUCAUGCACUGCCCUUGAUCUUUCACCUUCUCAUACCGUGAACACGUCCCAUAGCAAUCGUCACUAGUUCCUAUCAAUUCCCAGCUGCACGACGACGCUAGAACGACAUAGCACCUGUGACAAACAAUGGAUCCCACCAAGAAACAGGUACGAAUACUGCAAUCUCCUUCCCUCCUCCACUGCCCCCCCAUUUUCGUCGCUGCUGACCAACUGUUGCACUUCACAGGCAGGACACCUUGCUGGAGGACCUUCCUACCCUGCGACGGGAACGUCACGACAGUCGGCCGCGAAGUCAUAUGCUUGCUGGAGCCCAGAUGCCAACCGAGCCUUCAUUGCGGCGUGCGAGAAAGCCAUAGCCGAGGGGCACCGAAACAGGAAGUGUUUCACCAAACACGGCUGGGAAUGGGUUGACUCACUCUUCAACUCAGUGACCGGCCAUUAUUGGAGCCGACAACAGCUGCGAAAUCAUUGGGAUUCAAUGCGCCGAACAUACAAGCGUCUAUUAGAGCUUAUCAAUAGCAGCGGGAUCGAGUAUAACGAUGCUACCGGCCGAAUCGUUGCUUCUGAAGAAUGGUGGAACUGGAAGAUUAAUGUAAUGGAUUCCCAAUCUCUCAAUAACUCGUUUUCCUGCAAGUGCGAUUAGUGCGCCGACUUACUGCCUUUUUGGUGCAUUGCUGUGUCUUUACAUUUGCAUCAGACAUCUUAGUCUGAAAACUGAAUUGUAUUGUACCAAAAAACUUUAUUAUAGUUCUUACUUAGCCUUUAACUCAUAUUCAAUUUUCUCUAUUUUGAUGGCAAGUAUUGUGAGUGUAGAUGAAAACACAGCUGCAUUAGGUUAAUGCCCAGACUAGCAUUAAACGUCUGGUAUUCGUUAUAUGUCAUUUUCACUGAACUUGUUUUGUCGCACAAUAUACAGAAUGCUUUUUGCUGCUUCUAGGAAUACAAAUUCAUGUGUGCAACCUAUAAAUCGAAACAUUAAUUUUGGCGUUUGUUCCAGUUAUCAUAAAGUUUUUUCCUUCUGGGGUGAGCCUUCAUUUCAUGUUCAUGUCAGGUAAUAAGUUGAAUGGACGAGCAAGGAUUUCCUCCAACAAUGUUGACAGGUGACCGAUGUGGGUGAUUAACAAGAAAUGUGAUGAAGUACCUCUUUAAGGUCUAUGGUUAGAUUUAAAAUUUAAGUUGACGGUUGCAUCAAGAUAGAAGACACUUUACUCAAAUUUUGCAGAAUAGAUGUUGUUAUACUAUCAGUCGUUGAUUCUUUAUUAUAUGACACUUUAGUAUCUGAGACUUGCUUCAUCAUCAGUGAUGGUAUACCUAUAGUUUGGUGUAGAAUAGUAUUACUGCAACCUUUAGUGUCUUAUUAAUGCUCAGCUCAUUGCAAUGGAAGAUAGUGGGAAAAAAAUAUGAAUUUGCUAGAUUCCAACUGGAAAUUGAUAGUCUUUCCCUUUUUACUUGGUUUCUGGGUAAUGUCUCUUUAUUUAAAGUGCCCUCCUCAUGUCUAUUAACUGACUUGGUCGUGUCGUUUACUUUGUACACAAUAUUAAUUUUUCUCUAAUAGUUGUUUGUGUUUUUGAUACAUAGUGAAUUGCAUUUCCCUCUGGUACUCUCAUUGUAGGUCCCGAUUUAUGCAGGAGAACGUGGUCUAUAAAGACUUCAAGGAUAGGGACGUCAGCGAGAUAUACAUAAAAUACCGUCAGCUAUUUGGCGAUAGCUACGAUGCAGACAAGUACGCUAUCACUCCAACGAAGUUGUGUAGAAUGGGAUAUAGCCUAUACGAGGAUUGUGCGCUCGAAGACAAUAGGGAUGCAAUCCCGAUGGACGACAAGAGUAGUGGUUCAAGUGACGAGGCCGAAUAGACGGUGGUCCGUGCCCGCGAGAACGUUUCUAACACCACAGGCAGCAAUAAAAGGAAGUCUUCCAGCGGGCAGUGGAGGGGCAGGAAAAAAAAGAUGUCUGCUCAUAACCUGUCCUUCUCAGUAGAUCACACCACCAAUGCGGCGGAGGAAGUGGUGGCAAAGAUUCAUACGAUGAUGGCUUCAAAUGAAAGCGCUGGUGCGAACUGUGUCGAAGAGUUGCUAGCGACAGGCCGGCUCUAGCGGCGCACACCUCUUUAUUUUUACGCAUGCCAGCUUCUGGCCCAUAAACAGUAUCGUGACAUGCUUGUCGUCAUGAGAGACACAAACGAGAAAUUUGAGUGGAUCGAGUGGAUGUUCAGCGACUGGGGGAAGUAAUUGUGGUAGUCAUUAUGUGUUUUUUUUAUUUCUUUUACAUUUUCGAGACCUAUCUGUACGCAAGCUGUUGUAAUAUUCUCAUGCACUAUUAUCCACUUGUUUAUUAUGACUUCGAAUCUGGUACAUGCUGGUGAAUUUAUUCCCGCGUUUGGCACUCAAUUAAGG
RNAcentral lists this long non-coding RNA (19662 nucleotides) under Olea europaea subsp. europaea. Lineage: Eukaryota; Viridiplantae; Streptophyta; Magnoliopsida; Lamiales; Oleaceae. The record is from RNAcentral.